RNA transcript from Tripterygium wilfordii, 2599 nucleotides. RefSeq lists it as uncharacterized. The record is from RefSeq and is a predicted model, not a curated record. The transcript is spliced from 15 exons. Lineage: Eukaryota; Viridiplantae; Streptophyta; Magnoliopsida; Celastrales; Celastraceae.
ACGCGCAUAUAACACACUCGCGGCCAAUUAAAUGACUGCCAGUCUGCUGCGAGGCUCAUUUUUUACUCUUCGACUACUGCCACUUAUUCUCUUCUCCUCUUGGAGGGGGGGAGAUACAGAAAUACGAGCGGUUUUUAUCUUUAUGUUUAGAUUGUACAUUAAAGCACGAAGUUCGAACACAAUCGCUUGAUCGUAGUACGAAUCUAUAUCUAGGGUUCUACUCUCGCCAUUGCUACGUUUCUCUUGCUCAUCAACCUUGGAUUCCUUUUUCACGCAUUGCAUCGACAUCGACGGAGUUUUUAAGAUUCCGUUUGCUUCUAUGGUGUGCUCAUUGGGAAGUGGGAGAAUGGCAGUCAUGGCUCGAAUUUUGACAAGAAAUAUCUCAAAGACGAUAUCAGAAGAAAUUGGACAUCAGAAAUCAGUUGCUCAAUAUAUUUGCAGAGAAUUAUGUGAUGCAGAUGAACCAAAUUUGCUUGAUGAAGAAGAUAUGCAUGUUUUUGGCUUGAGGCCCAUUGCUGACCCAUUGUAUCUGGUAUGUUGCAAUACUUGUAAGAAGCCAAUAAAGACAACUCAAUAUGCAGCUCAUGCAGAACAAUGUUGGUCAUCAAAAUCUACAGAAGGAAUUACUUUGGAGCUUGAUGGUGGUGUAGCGUGUAGGAGACCACCAAGGAAAGAGAGAAAAAAGUUAUUAGCUGCUCAUCCUAAUCAAUCUACAACAGGUGGGAAGCAAGAAAGGUCUAGGUCAAUAGAUGCAGAUGAAGCAACCGCAUCAAAAUCUCAGUUUGAAAGCGGAAUGACUUCCUUGUUCUCCACGAAUAGAAAAGGAAAUUCUUCAUGUGGAGUGCCAUCCAGUAUAGAUGGUGCAGGAGUGAGUCCUGAGAAUACAGACCAUUCAGCAUGUGUGGUACCACCUCCAACAAAACGCACUAGACUGAUGACAGGUGAUCAUUUUGUUCUACCAGACGAUCCAGAAACAGCUUCUGGGGUGACAAAAAUCACUAGUGCAUGUACAUUGGAGAAUGAAUGCAGAACAUUGGUGUUUGUGGAUCCGUGGUGCUUCAACAGGGAUUCUCCCUUGCUAACUUCUUCAGGAAGUGUCAUGCCAAAUGAUUCUGUUGUUGCAAAUGAAGACCCUGACAAUGUCCAGAAAUUAUGCUUGUCAACAAAAGUGAAAUCAAAAUUUCCGGCUCCCCUCGCUACAAAAACAUUUUACUCGCAAAGAAACAAUCGUCUCCGUUUAGCAAUUACUCAUCUCUAUUCCGCGGUAUCAGUUGUGGACGUGAGCAGCAGUGUGGUGGGUCCAGAACUAUCUCAGGAAAUGCAAUUGGAAGCAUCAUCUCAGAUGUUCUCUUCACUCAAACAAGUUGAUGAUUUGAACGAUGAAAAGAUAGAGCCUUCUGCAUGUAGACCUGAUAAAAAUUUUGCUCAAAUCUCUAAUUUGGGCUUGAACAAAACGGGAGUAUGGCUACCAUCUAGCAGCCCUACAAAUGAUUUUCAUAUCGAUGGUGUUUCAAGGCCAGAGACUGCUCCUGUUGGAUUGCUCAGGGGCAAACAUGUCUCAAAGUCUUUUUCAAUCACAGGCAACUCAGGAAAAUCACUUGGACCCAUGCAGCAGCCAAAUGGAAGUGUUCCCGUUUUAUAGUAGUCCUCAUAGAAACUUGUAUAGGCAAUGCUGUAUCUACCCCGAUACAUGAGACUUGGUGCUCCAGUUCAGGGAAUAAUUGGGCAGCAGUUGCCUGUGGACCAUGUUAGUUUCAACCAGAAAUGUCAAAUUCUGAAGAUGGACAUGCCAGCAAAGGAAGGAAUGAUAGCAACAGGCUUGAACAGACUUGUGGUACUUGGGGUCUGUUAAAUGUCUUCUGCUACAUUAAGUGUAUGGCUUUGUCUUCUAUUGACAGUGAGGUUCUUCUCCAUCAUUGCCCAUCAUUCAGGGAAAGAACUAAGAAAGGUUUGCGUUUUAUAUUCCCUUAUUUAAAAUUUUUGAGUUUUUAAUCGAGUCCUAUGCAAUUAAUCUUCAUGAAAUUUGUUCUGGUUUAUGCUCUGAAGGCAAUCAGAAAAACAUGACCAAUAAUCAACAUCUAUGGAACAAAACCAACAUUUUCGGCCAAUUGAGCUUAUAUUGUCUGGUUCUGAUUUUGAUGUUGACAAUACAAUAGUGUUAACAUAUAUAUAGAUAAUUUCAGUUUUUAAAUAUCUAACGUAUUUUUUUGGAGAAAAACACCUUAUAAUAAUUUCGUAGUUAAGCGUAUUUAUGUAAGAGUACUAUUGGGAUGAGUGAUCUCUUGGGAAGUCAAAAUUGUGCGGGCAUGAUGUAUUCACAAGAACUGGAUCACCUAAAACAUAAUACUGUUGAUGUGUAUAUAAACUGAAGUUAUCAAACUACAAUAUAAAAUACUCCUCCAGCCUCCUGUGAGCGUGCAUGUGUUAUUGUUUUUAGCUCCUUCAAUUCGAAUUUUCUAUUUGUCUCUCGUUAAUUAUAGCUGGUGAGAAUUUACUCAUUUAGUAUAUUCUUUUGGUCAUUACGAGAAUAUACGAACGGGCGCACAAGGCUGCCGCAGAUUUGUGGUCUCCGCCCAUGGACUGCGACUUUGAGAUUCAA